This 1191-nucleotide ribosomal RNA is filed under the name Salmonella enterica. Its description in RNAcentral is "partial 23S ribosomal RNA". It matches the Rfam family "Bacterial large subunit ribosomal RNA", at positions 711 to 1798 of the family's 2925-position model. The record is from RNAcentral. Lineage: Bacteria; Pseudomonadati; Pseudomonadota; Gammaproteobacteria; Enterobacterales; Enterobacteriaceae.
AGACCCGAAACCCGGUGAUCUAGCCAUGGGCAGGUUGAAGGUUGGGUAACACUAACUGGAGGACCGAACCGACUAAUGUUGAAAAAUUAGCGGAUGACCUGUGGCUGGGGGUGAAAGGCCAAUCAAACCGGGAGAUAGCUGGUUCUCCCCGAAAGCUAUUUAGGUAGCGCCUCGUGAAUUCAUCUCCGGGGGUAGAGCACUGUUUCGGCUAGGGGGCCAUCCCGGCUUACCAACCCGAUGCAAACUGCGAAUACCGGAGAAUGUUAUCACGGGAGACACACGGCGGGUGCUAACGUCCGUCGUGAAGAGGGAAACAACCCAGACCGCCAGCUAAGGUCCCAAAGUCAUGGUUAAGUGGGAAACGAUGUGGGAAGGCCCAGACAGCCAGGAUGUUGGCUUAGAAGCAGCCAUCAUUUAAAGAAAGCGUAAUAGCUCACUGGUCGAGUCGGCCUGCGCGGAAGAUGUAACGGGGCUAAACCAUGCACCGAAGCUGCGGCAGCGAACGUAUCACCCAAGACAACUUUACGGAGUUGACGAUUGACGGAGCGAAGCGACGUCAAAGCGUUCAUUAAAGUCGAGUUGGCUUAGGGAUACGUUCGUUGGGUAGGGGAGCGUUCUGUAAGCCUGUGAAGGUGUGUCGUGAGGCAUGCUGGAGGUAUCAGAAGUGCGAAUGCUGACAUAAGUAACGAUAAAGCGGGUGAAAAGCCCGCUCGCCGGAAGACCAAGGGUUCCUGUCCAACGUUAAUCGGGGCAGGGUGAGUCGACCCCUAAGGCGAGGCCGAAAGGCGUAGUCGAUGGGAAACGGGUUAAUAUUCCCGUACUUGGUGUUACUGCGAAGGGGGGACGGAGAAGGCUAUGUUGGCCGGGCGACGGUUGUCCCGGUUUAAGCGUGUAGGUGUGUGUUCCAGGUAAAUCCGGUUCACUUUAACACUGAGGCGUGACGACGAGGCACUACGGUGCUGAAGCAACAAAUGCCCUGCUUCCAGGAAAAGCCUCUAAGCAUCAGGUAACAUCAAAUCGUACCCCAAACCGACACAGGUGGUCAGGUAGAGAAUACCAAGGCGCUUGAGAGAACUCGGGUGAAGGAACUAGGCAAAAUGGUGCCGUAACUUCGGGAGAAGGCACGCUGACACGUAGGUGAAGUGAUUUACUCAUGGAGCUGAAGUCAGUCGAAGAUACCAGCUGGCUGCA